AGUUUAACUGGGGCGGUUGCCUCCCAAAAUGUAACGGAGGCGCCCAAAGGUUCCCUCAGCCUGGUUGGCAAUCAGGUGUUGAGUGUAAGUGCACAAGGGAGCUUGACUGUGAGACUGACAGGUCGAGCAGGGACGAAAGUCGGGACUAGUGAUCCGGCACUGGCUUGUGGAAGCGGUGUCGCUCAACGGAUAAAAGGUACCCCGGGGAUAACAGGCUGAUCUUCCCCAAGAGUCCAUAUCGACGGGAUGGUUUGGCACCUCGAUGUCGGCUCGUCGCAUCCUGGGGCUGGAGUAGGUCCCAAGGGUUGGGCUGUUCGCCCAUUAAAGCGGCACGCGAGCUGGGUUUAGAACGUCGUGAGACAGUUCGGUCCCUAUCUGGUGUGGGCGUUGGAUGAUUGAUGGGAGCUGCUCCUAGUACGAGAGGACCGGAGUGGACGAACCGCUGGUGUUCGGGUUGUCAUGCCAAUGGCAUUGCCCGGUAGCUACGUUCGGAACGGAUAACCGCUGAAAGCAUCUAAGCGGGAAGCCGGCCCAAAGAUGAGUCAUCCCUGACUUUUAAAGUCCGGAAGGGUUGUUAUAGACGAUGACGUUGAUAGGCAGGAUGUGGAAGCGUUGUAAGGCGUUAAGCUAACCUGUACUAAUUGCCCGAGAGGCUUAACC
Molecule: ribosomal RNA, 660 nt
Filed under: Ochromonas sp. CCMP1393
Lineage: Eukaryota; Chrysophyceae; Chromulinales; Chromulinaceae
Description: partial Bacterial large subunit ribosomal RNA
Rfam family: Bacterial large subunit ribosomal RNA
Source: RNAcentral